This is a long non-coding RNA of Anopheles funestus (African malaria mosquito), 6910 nucleotides long. RefSeq lists it as uncharacterized. The record is from RefSeq and is a predicted model, not a curated record. The transcript is spliced from 7 exons. Lineage: Eukaryota; Metazoa; Arthropoda; Insecta; Diptera; Culicidae.
AUUUUUGAGCUGAAAAUUUUUUUAAAUUUUUUUUCUGAUUUUUUAUUAUUUUUUUAAUUUAAAGCAUUAUUUGAGUGAAAAGAAACACAUUGCAACAAAUUUGCAUGAAAAUAUAUGACAUUUAAAAAUUUUGCUGAAUUGCUCAAAAAUGAGGAAAAUUUUACAUUUUUUCAAACAGGGUAAGGAACUUGGUUCCUCGAAUAACUUCUGCCACAGACAUUUGAGGGCAUGGCCGUCCAAGAAGAAAAUGUAGCCAUUGGUGCCAUCUAUCGACCACAGGUUGAAGAUUGGCGAUUCGUUGGAUAUCAACCGAGUUAUAGGCAAAACUUGCUGCAAAAAUGAGGAAAAUUUUACAUUUUCUCAAACAGGGUAAGGAACUUGGUUCCUCGAAUAACUUCUGCCACAGACAUCUGAGGGCAUGGCGGUCCAAGAAGAAAAUGUAGCCAUUGGUGUCAUCUAUCGACCACAGAUUAAAGAUUGGCGAUCCGUUGGAUACCGACCGAGUUAUAGGCAAAACUUGAUGCAAAAAUGAGCCUUAGUUUUAUUUUUUUAAUCUUUUGAUUUUUUUAUUAUUUUUCACAAUUUUUUUUAUUUGAAGCAUUACUGGAGUGAAAAGAAACACAUUGCAACCGAUUGGCAUUUAAAUAAAUCAAUUUCAUUUUUUUUGCAAAAUUUCCCAAAAAAAUCGUAAGGGGUAAGCCUUAUGAAAUUUUCGAGCUGAAAAUUUUUUUAAAUUUUUUUUCUGAUUUUUUAUUAUUAUUUUAAUUUAAAGCAUUAUUUGAGUGAAAAGAAACACAUUGCAACAAAUUUGCAUGAAAAUAUAUGACAUUUAAAAAUUUUGCUAAAUUGCUCAAAAAUGAGGAAAAUUUUACAUUUUUUCAAACAGGGUAAGGAACUUGGUUCCUCGAAUAACUUCUGCCACAGACAUCUGAGGGCAUGGCCGUCCAAGAAGAAAAUGUAGCCAUUGGUGCCAUCUAUCGACCACAGGUUGAAGAUUGGCGAUUCGUUGGAUAUCAACCGAGUUAUAGGCAAAACUUGCUGCAAAAAUGAGGAAAAUUUUACAUUUUCUCAAACAGGGUAAGGAACUUGGUUCCUCGAAUAACUUCUGCCACAGACAUCUGAGGGCAUGGCGGUCCAAGAAGAAAAUGUAGCCAUUGGUGCCAUCUAUCGACCACAGGUUAAAGAUCGGCGAUCCGUUGGAUACCGACCGAGAUAUAGGCAAAACUUGGUGCAAAAAUGAGCCUUAGUUUUAUUUUUUUAAUCUUUUGAUUUUUUUAUUAUUUUUCACUCUUUUUUUAUUUGAAGCAUUACUAGAGUGAAAAGAAACACAUUGCAACCAAUUGGCAUUAAAAUAAAUCAAUUUCAUUUUUUUAGCAAAAUUUCCCAAAAAAAUCGUAAGGGGUAAGCCUUAUGAAAUUUUUGAGCUGAAAAUUUUUUUAAAUUUUUUUUCUGAUUUUUUAUUAUUUUUUUAAUUUAAAGCAUUAUUUGAGUGAAAAGAAACACAUUGCAACAAAUUUGCAUGAAAAUAUAUGACAUUUAAAAAUUUUGCUGAAUUGCUCAAAAAUGAGAAAAAUUUUACAUUUUUUCAAACAGGGUAAGGAACUUGGUUCCUCGAAUAACUUCUGCCACAGACAUCUGAGGGCAUGGCCGUCCAAGAAGAAAAUGUAGCCAUUGGUGCCAUCUAUCGACCACAGGUUAAAGAUUGGCGAUCCGUUGGAUACCGACCGAGUUAUAGGCAAAACUUGGUGCAAAAAUGAGGAAAAUUUUACAUUUUUUCAAACAGGGUAAGGAACUUGGUUCCUCGAAUAACUUCUGCCACAGACAUCUGAGGGCAUGGCCUUCCAAAAAGAAAAUGUAGCCAUUGGUGUCAUCUAUCGACCACAGAUUAAAGAUUGGCGAUCCGUUGGAUACCGACCGAGUUAUAGGCAAAACUUGAUGCAAAAAUGAGCCUUAGUUUUAUUUUUUUAAUCUUUUGAUUUUUUUAUUAUUUUUCACAAUUUUUUUUAUUUGAAGCAUUACUGGAGUGAAAAGAAACACAUUGCAACCGAUUGGCAUUUAAAUAAAUCAAUUUCAUUUUUUUUGCAAAAUUUCCCAAAAAAAUCGUAAGGGGUAAGCCUUAUGAAAUUUUCGAGCUGAAAAUUUUUUUAAAUUUUUUUUCUGAUUUUUUAUUAUUAUUUUAAUUUAAAGCAUUAUUUGAGUGAAAAGAAACACAUUGCAACAAAUUUGCAUGAAAAUAUAUGACAUUUAAAAAUUUUGCUAAAUUGCUCAAAAAUGAGGAAAAUUUUACAUUUUUUCAAACAGGGUAAGGAACUUGGUUCCUCGAAUAACUUCUGCCACAGACAUCUGAGGGCAUGGCCGUCCAAGAAGAAAAUGUAGCCAUUGGUGCCAUCUAUCGACCACAGGUUGAAGAUUGGCGAUUCGUUGGAUAUCAACCGAGUUAUAGGCAAAACUUGGUGCAAAAAUGAGGAAAAUUUUACAUUUUCUCAAACAGGGUAAGGAACUUGGUUCCUCGAAUAACUUCUGCCACAGACAUCUGAGGGCAUGGCCGUCCAAGAAGAAAAUGUAGCCAUUGGUGCCAUCUAUCGACCACAGGUUGAAGAUUGGCGAUUCGUUGGAUAUCAACCGAGUUAUAGGCAAAACUUGGUGCAAAAAUGAGGAAAAUUUUACAUUUUCUCAAACAGGGUAAGGAACUUGGUUCCUCGAAUAACUUCUGCCACAGAUAUCUGAGGGCAUGGCCGUCCAAGAAGAAAAUGUAGCCAUUGGUGCCAUCUAUCGACCACAGGUUAAAGAUUGGCGAUCCGUUGGAUACCGACCGAGUUAUAGGCAAAACUUGGUGCAAAAAUGAGCCUUAGUUUUAUUUUUUUUAAUCUUUUGAUUUUUUUAUUAUUUUUCACUAUUUUUUUUAUUUGAAGCAUUACUAGAGUGAAAAGAAACACAUUGCAACCAAUUGGCAUUAAAAUAAAUCAAUUUCAUUUUUUUUGCAAAAUUUCCCAAAAAAAUCGUAAGGGGUAAGCCUUAUGAAAUUUUCGAGCUGAAAAUUUUUUUUAAAAUUUUUUUCUGAUUUUUUAUUAUUUUUUUAAUUUAAAGCAUUAUUUGAGUGAAAAGAAACACAUUGCAACAAAUUUGCAUGAAAAUAUAUGACAUUUAAAAAUUUUGCUAAAUUGCUCAAAAAUGAGGAAAAUUUUACAUUUUUUCAAACAGGGUAAGGAACUUGGUUCCUCGAAUAACUUCUGCCACAGACAUCUGAGGGCAUAUCCGUCCAAGAAGAAAAUGUAGCCAUUGGUGCCAUCUAUCGACCACAUGUUGAAGAUUGGCGAUUCGUUGGAUAUCAACCGAGAUAUAGGCAAAACUUGCUGCAAAAAUGAGGAAAAUUUUACAUUUUUUCAAACAGGGUAAGGAACUUGGUUCCUCGAAUAAUUUCUGCCACAGACAUCUGAGGGCAUAUCCGUCCAAGAAGAAAAUGUAGCCAUUGGUGUCAUCUAUCGACCACAGGGUGAAGAUUGGCGAUUCGUUGGAUAUCAACCGAGUUAUAGGCAAAACUUGCUGCAAAAAUGAGGAAAAUUUUACAUUUUCUCAAACAGGGUAAGGAACUUGGUUCCUCGAAUAACUUCCGGCACGAACACCUGAGAGCAUGGCUGUCCAAGAAGAAAAUGUAGCCAUUGGUGCCAUCUAUCGACCACAGGUUAAAGAUCGGCGAUCCGUUGGAUACCGACCGAGAUAUAGGCAAAACUUGGUGCAAAAAUGAGCCUUAGUUUUAUUUCUUUUAAUCUUUUGAUUUUUUUAUUAUUUUUCACAAUUUUUUUUAUUUGAAGCAUUACUGGAGUGAAAAGAAACACAUUGCAACCAAUUGGCAUUAAAAUAAAUCAAUUUCAUUUUUUUUGCAAAAUUUCCCAAAAAAAUCGUAAGGGGUAAGCCUUAUGAAAUUUUCGAGCUGAAAUUAUUUUUAAAUUUUUUUCUGAUUUUUUAUUAUUUUUUUAAUUCAAAGCAUUAUUUGAGUGAAAAGAAACACAUUGCAACAAAUUUGCAUGAAAAUAUAUGACAUUUAAAAAUUUUGCUAAAUUGCUCAAAAAUGAGGAAAAUUUUACAUUUUUUCAAACAGGGUAAGGAACUUGGUUCCUCGAAUAACUUCUGCCACAGACAUCUGAGGGCAUAUCCGUCCAAGAAGAAAAUGUAGCCAUUGGUGCCAUCUAUCGACCACAGGUUAAAGAUUGGCGAUUUGUUGGAUAUCAACCGAGUUAUAGGCAAAACUUGCUGCAAAAAUGAGGAAAAUUUUACAUUUUCUCAAACAGGGUAAGGAACUUGGUUCCUCGAAUAACUUCUGCCACAGACAUCUGAGGGCAUGGCCGUCCAAGAAGAAAAUGUAGCCAUUGGUGCCAUCUAUCGACCACAGGUUAAAGAUCGGCGAUCCGUUGGAUACCGACCGAGAUAUAUGCAAAACUUGGUGCAAAAAUGAGCCUUAGUUUUAUUUUUUUAAUCUUUUGAUUUUUUUAUUAUUUUUCACUCUUUUUUUUAUUUGAAGCAUUACUGGAGUGAAAAGAAACACAUUGCAACCAAUUGGCAUUAAAAUAAAUCAAUUUCAUUUUUUUUGCAAAAUUUCCCAAAAAAAAUCGUAAGGGGUAAGCCUUAUGAAAUUUUCGAGCUGAAAAUUUUUUUAAAAUUUUUUUCUGAUUUUUUAUUAUUUUUUUAAUUUAUAGCAUUAUUUGAGUGAAAAGAAACACAUUGCAACCAAUUGGCAUUAAAAUAAAUCAAUUUCAUUUUUUUUGCAAAAUUUCCCAAAAAAAAUCGUAAGGGGUAAGCCUUAUGAAAUUUUCGAGCUGAAAAUUUUUUUAAAUUUUUUUUCUGAUUUUUUAUUAUUUUUUUAAUUUAAAGCAUUAUUUGAGUGAAAAGAAACACGUUGCAACAAAUUCGCAUGAAAAUAUAUGACAUUUAAAAAUUUUGCUGAAUUGCUCAAAAAUGAGGAAAAUUUUACAUUUUUUCAAACAGGGUAAGGAACUUGGUUCCUCGAAUAACUUCUGCCACAGACAUCUGAGGGCAUGGCCGUCCAAGAAGAAAAUGUAGCCAUUGGUGCCAUCUAUCGACCACAGGUUAAAGAUUGGCGAUCCGUUGGAUACCGACCGAGUUAUAGGCAAAACUUGAUGCAAAAAUGAGCCUUAGUUUUAUUUUUUUUAUCUUUUGAUUUUUUUAUUAUUUUUCACUAUUUUUUUUAUUUGAAGCAUUACUGGAGUGAAAAGAAACACAUUGCAACCAAUUGGCAUUAAAAUAAAUCAAUUUCAUUUUUUUUGCAAAAUUUCCCAAAAAAAUCGUAAGGGGUAAGCCUUAUGAAAUUUUCGAGCUGAAAUUUUUUUUAAAUUUUUUUUCUGAUUUUUUAUUAUUUUUUUAAUUUAAAGCAUUAUUUGAGUGAAAAGAAACACAUUGCAACAAAUUUGCAUGAAAAUAUAUGACAUUUAAAAAUUUUGCUAAAUUGCUCAAAAAUGAGGAAAAUUUUACAUUUUUUCAAACAGGGUAAGGAACUUGGUUCCUCGAAUAACUUCUGCCACAGACAUCUGAGGGCAUGGCCGUCCAAGAAGAAAAUGUAGCCAUUGGUGCCAUCUAUCGACCACAGGUUAAAGAUUGGCGAUUCGUUGGAUACCGACCGAGUUAUAGGCAAAACUUGGUGCAAAAAUGAGCCUUAGUUUUAUUUUUUUUAAUCUUUUGAUUUUUUUAUUAUUUUUCACUAUUUUUUUUAUUUGAAGCAUUACUAGAGUGAAAAGAAACACAUUGCAACCAAUUGGCAUUAAAAUAAAUCAAUUUCAUUUUUUUUGCAAAAUUUCCCAAAAAAAUCGUAAGGGGUAAGCCUUAUGAAAUUUUCGAGCUGAAAAUUUUUUUUAAAAUUUUUUUCUGAUUUUUUAUUAUUUUUUUAAUUUAAAGCAUUAUUUGAGUGAAAAGAAACACAUUGCAACAAAUUUGCAUGAAAAUAUAUGACAUUUAAAAAUUUUGCUAAAUUGCUCAAAAAUGAGGAAAAUUUUACAUUUUUUCAAACAGGGUAAGGAACUUGGUUCCUCGAAUAACUUCUGCCACAGACAUCUGAGGGCAUGGCCGUCCAAGAAGAAAAUGUAGCCAUUGGUGCCAUCUAUCGACCACAGGUUAAAGAUUGGCGAUCCGUUGGAUACCGACCGAGUUAUAGGCAAAACUUGAUGCAAAAAUGAGGAAAAUUUUACAUUUUUUCAAACAGGGUAAGGAACUUGGUUCCUCGAAUAACUUCUGGCACAGACAUCUGAGGGCAUGGCCGUCCAAGAAGAAAAUGUAGCCAUUGGUGCCAUCUAUCGACCACAGGUUAAAGAUUGGCGAUCCGUUGGAUACCGACCGAGUUAUAGGCAAAACUUGAUGCAAAAAUGAGGAAAAUUUUACAUUUUUUCAAACAGGGUAAGGAACUUGGUUCCUCGAAUAACUUCUGCCACAGACAUCUGAGGGCAUGGCCGUCCAAGAAGAAAAUGUAGCCAUUGGUGCCAUCUAUUGACCACAGGUUAAAGAUUGGCGAUCCGUUGGAUACCGACCGAGUUAUAGGCAAAACUUGAUGCAAAAAUGAGGAAAAUUUUACAUUUUUUCAAACAGGGUAAGGAACUUGGUUCCUCGAAUAACUUCUGGCACAGACAUCUGAGGGCAUGGCCGUCCAAGAAGAAAAUGUAGCCAUUGGUGCCAUCUAUCGACCACAGGUUAAAGAUUGGCGAUUCGUUGGAUACCGACCGAGUUAUAGGCAAAACUUGAUGCAAAAAUGAGGAAAAUUUUACAUUUUCUCAAACAGGGUAAGGAACUUGGUUCCUCGAAUAACUUCUGCCACAGACAUCUGAGGGCAUAUCCGUCCAAGAAGAAAAUGUAGCCAUUGGUGCCAUCUAUCGACCACAGGUUAAAGAUUGGCGAUUUGUUGGAUAUC